GUGCCAGCCGCCGCGGUAAGACGAACCGUGCGAACGUUGUUCGGAUUCACUGGGCUUAAAGGGCGCGUAGGCGGGUUGUCAAGUCAGGGGUGAAAGCCUCCAGCUCAACUGGAGAAGUGCCUUUGAUACUGACGAUCUUGAGGGAGGUAGGGGCAUGUGGAACUUCCGGUGGAGCGGUGAAAUGCGUAGAUAUCGGAAGGAACGCCGGUGGCGAAAGCGACGUGCUGGACCUCUUCUGACGCUGAGGCGCGAAAGCUAGGGGAGCGAACGGGAUUAGAUACCCCGGUAGUCCUAGCCCUAAACGAUGGGUACUAGAUUGUGGACUUAACAUGGGUUCACAGUCGAAGCAAAAGUGUUAAGUACCCCGCCUGGGGAGUAUGGUCGCAAGGCUGAA
RNAcentral lists this ribosomal RNA (394 nucleotides) under uncultured bacterium. RNAcentral's name for it is "bacterial SSU rRNA". It matches the Rfam family "Bacterial small subunit ribosomal RNA", at positions 505 to 898 of the family's 1533-position model. The record is from RNAcentral.